UUAAGUUCAGCGGGUAGUCCUACCUGAUUUGAGGUCAAACGUUCAGUAAUUGGUGUUGUCCUUGCGGACGGUUGGUAGCUGAACAAGACAGAGAGCGACCCACUGGCGUAGAUAAUUAUCACACCUGUGACGGAUCGCAAACGGUUCCGCUAAUGCAUUUCAGAGGAGCCGACCCAGCAAAAAGGGCCCGCAAAAUACCU
Molecule: unclassified non-coding RNA, 200 nt
Filed under: Leucoagaricus sp.
Lineage: Eukaryota; Fungi; Basidiomycota; Agaricomycetes; Agaricales; Agaricaceae
Description: partial internal transcribed spacer 2
Source: RNAcentral